RNAcentral lists this ribosomal RNA (438 nucleotides) under uncultured bacterium. RNAcentral describes it as "bacterial SSU rRNA". It matches the Rfam family "Bacterial small subunit ribosomal RNA", at positions 338 to 792 of the family's 1533-position model. The record is from RNAcentral.
CCUACGGGAGGCAGCAGUGGGGAAUAUUGCACAAUGGGGGAAACCCUGAUGCAGCAACGCCGCGUGGGUGAAGGAGCGUUUCGGCGCGUAAAGCCCUGUCAGCGGGGAAGAAGAAAGACGGUACCCGACCAAGAAGCCCCGGCUAACUACGUGCCAGCAGCCGCGGUAAUACGUAGGGGGCGAGCGUUAUCCGGAAUUACUGGGUGUAAAGGGAGCGUAGACGGCGAGGUAAGCCUGAAGUGGAAGCCCGCGGCCCAACCGCGGAACUGCUUUGGGAACUGUUUUGCUGGAGUAUGGGAGGGGUAAGCGGAAUUCCUGGUGUAGCGGUGAAAUGCGUAGAUAUCAGGAGGAACACCGGUGGCGAAGGCGGCUUACUGGACCAUAACUGACGUUGAGGCUCGAAAGCGUGGGGAGCGAACAGGAUUAGAUACCCCAGUA